CAGCCGCCACGGUAAUACGUAGGUCCCGAGCGUUGUCCGGAUUUACUGGGCGUAAAGGGCUCGCAGGCGGUUUCUUAAGUCUGAUGUGAAAGCCCCCGGCUCAGCCGGGGAGGGUCAUUGGAAACUGGGAAACUUGAGUGCAGAAGAGGAGAGUGGAAUUCCACGUGUAGCGGUGAAAUGCGUAGAGAUGUGGAGGAACACCAGUGGCGAAGGCGACUCUCUGGUCUGUAACUGACGCUGAGGAGCGAAAGCGUGGGGAGCGAACAGGAUUAGAUACCCCCGUAGUCCCUGUCUCUUAUAC
RNAcentral lists this ribosomal RNA (301 nucleotides) under uncultured bacterium. RNAcentral's name for it is "partial 16S ribosomal RNA". It matches the Rfam family "Bacterial small subunit ribosomal RNA", at positions 509 to 807 of the family's 1533-position model. The record is from RNAcentral.